RNAcentral lists this ribosomal RNA (385 nucleotides) under uncultured bacterium. Its description in RNAcentral is "bacterial SSU rRNA". It matches the Rfam family "Bacterial small subunit ribosomal RNA", at positions 28 to 416 of the family's 1533-position model. The record is from RNAcentral.
GACGAACGCUGGCGGCGUGCUUAACACAUGCAAGUCGAGCGGUAAGGCCCUUUCGGGGUACGACGAGCGGCGAACGGGUGAGUAACACGUGGGUGACCUGCCCUCAGCUCUGGGAUAAGCCUGGGAAACCGGGUCUAAUACCGGAUAUGACUCCAUGACGCAUGUUGUGGGGUGGAAAGCCUUGUGCGGCUGAGGAUGGGCCCGCGGCCUAUCAGCUUGUUGGUGGGGUGAGGCCUACCAAGGCGACGACGGGUAGCCGGCCUGAGAGGGCGACCGGCCACACUGGGACUGAGACACGGCCCAGACUCCUACGGGAGGCAGCAGUGGGGAAUCUUGCGCAAUGGGCAAAGCCUGACGCAGCGACGCCGCGUGAGGGAUGACGGCC